AGCGAACGCUGGCGGCAGGCUUAACACAUGCAAGUCGAGCGGGCAUCUUCGGAUGUCAGCGGCAGACGGGUGAGUAACACGUGGGAACGUACCCUUCGGUUCGGAACAACUCUGGGAAACUGGAGCUAAUACCGGAUACGCCCUUAUGGGGAAAGGUUUACUGCCGAAGGAUCGGCCCGCGUCUGAUUAGCUAGUUGGUGGGGUAACGGCCUACCAAGGCGACGAUCAGUAGCUGGUCUGAGAGGAUGAUCAGCCACACUGGGACUGAGACACGGCCCAGACUCCUACGGGAGGCAGCAGUGGGGAAUAUUGGACAAUGGGCGCAAGCCUGAUCCAGCCAUGCCGCGUGAGUGAUGAAGGCCUUAGGGUUGUAAAGCUCUUUUGUCCGGGACGAUAAUGACGUUACCGGAAGAAUAAGCCCCGGCUAACUUCGUG
This 435-nucleotide ribosomal RNA is filed under the name uncultured bacterium. RNAcentral describes it as "partial 16S ribosomal RNA". It matches the Rfam family "Bacterial small subunit ribosomal RNA", at positions 29 to 507 of the family's 1533-position model. The record is from RNAcentral.